UACGUAGGGGGCGAGCGUUGUCCGGAUUUAUUGGGUUUAAAGGGUGCGUAGGCGACUGUUUAAGUCAGUGGUGAAAGUCUACGGCUUAACCGUAGGAUUGCCAUUGAUACUGGGGAGCUUGAGUAUAGUUAAGGUAGGCGGAAUUGACAGUGUAGCGGUGAAAUGCUUAGAUAUUGUCAAGAACUCCGAUUGCGUAGGCAGCUUACUAAGCUAUAACUGACGCUGAGGCACGAAAGCGUGGGGAUCAAACAGG
Molecule: unclassified non-coding RNA, 253 nt
Filed under: uncultured Cytophagaceae bacterium
Lineage: Bacteria; Pseudomonadati; Bacteroidota; Cytophagia; Cytophagales; Cytophagaceae
Description: contains 16S-23S intergenic spacer region
Rfam family: Bacterial small subunit ribosomal RNA
Source: RNAcentral